AUGAAAUUUUGCAGGGAAACCAUGGAAGAUAUGGCAGAUGGAGACUAUUCUGAUUCUGAGCAAAUGAUUAUUAAUGACCUUUCUGCAAUGUCACUUUUGCAACAUGUGCUGUUCGGAAGGCUAUUCAAAACACCACGUAAUACCUCUAAAUUAACUGGUGCGCAAAAGACUAGAGAGUGGUUGGAAGGACAUCCAGUUAGAUUUUAUGAACAACUUCGUGUUGAUAAGCACACCUUCUACUUAUUGCGAGAUGCAUUGUGCGAGAGGAAUUUACUUACAGAUACAAAACGGAUGGACGUCAAUGAACAACUAGUCAUAUUUCUACAUACAAUUGGUCACAAUGUUAGGAACCGUGUUAUCCAGGAUAGAUUUCAACAUUCAGGAGAAACAAUAAGUCGGCAUUUCAAGAGAGUAUUAAAAGCCAUUAAUGGCUUACGUGAUGUUUACAUAACAGAUCCGUCCAAUGAAGUUCCCAACGAAAUAUUGGGCGACUCAAGGUUUUACCCAUACUUCAAGAACUGUAUGGGAGCAAUUGAUGGGACACAUAUUAAUGCAAAAAUCAAGCUUGAUAAACAAACUCCUUACAGAAAUAGGCAUGGUUAUCCCUCUCAAAAUGUAAUGGCAGUAGUGUCAUUUGACAUGACAUUUUCAUAUGUGGCUGCUGGAUGGGAAGGUUCCGCAUCGGAUCAAGCCGUAUUAAGGUGGGCUGUUACUGAUGGUGGGUUUGUUGUCCCAAAAGGUAAAAAUAAAAAAUACAUGAAUUUACAUGCAAGUAAAGUUUGUCUCAUUGUAUCAAACAUGUAA
RNAcentral lists this ribosomal RNA (804 nucleotides) under Triticum aestivum (bread wheat). RNAcentral's name for it is "partial small subunit ribosomal RNA". Lineage: Eukaryota; Viridiplantae; Streptophyta; Magnoliopsida; Poales; Poaceae. The record is from RNAcentral.